RNAcentral lists this unclassified non-coding RNA (313 nucleotides) under plant metagenome. RNAcentral's name for it is "partial contains 5.8S ribosomal RNA, internal transcribed spacer 2, and large subunit ribosomal RNA". The stretch from base 1 to 105 matches the Rfam family "5.8S ribosomal RNA", at positions 50 to 154 of the family's 154-position model. The record is from RNAcentral.
GAAAUGCGAUAAUUAAUGUGAAUUGCAGAAUUCAGUGAAUCAUCGAGUCUUUGAACGCACAUUGCGCCCCCUGGUAUUCCGGGGGGCAUGCCUGUCCGAGCGUCAUUGCUGCCCUCAAGCACGGCUUGUGUGUUGGGCUUCCGUCCCUGGCAACGGGGACGGGCCCAAAAGGCAGUGGCGGCACCAUGUCUGGUCCUCGAGCGUUGGGGCUUUGUCACCCGCUCCCGUAGGUCCAGCUGGCAGCUAGCCUCGCAACCAAUCUUUUUAACCAGGUUGACCUCGGAUCAGGUAGGGAUACCCGCUGAACUUAAGC